The sequence is an unclassified non-coding RNA, 322 nucleotides long. Its record names the gene 7SK. It matches the Rfam family "7SK RNA". Rfam says of the family: 7SK was discovered as an abundant small nuclear RNA in the mid-70s but a possible function has only recently been suggested. The record is from Ensembl.
GAAUGUGAGGUUUAUCUGGCUGCUACAUGUCACCCCCAUUGAUUGCUAGCAUUGAUUCGGCUGACCUGGCUGGCUAGGUGGGUGUCCCCUUCCUCCCUUACUGCUCCAUGUGCAUGCCUCCCGAAGCUGCGUGCUCAGCCGAAGAGGACGACCAUCCCCGAUAGAGGAGGAUCGUUCUUCAGUCAAGGGUAUACAAAUAGCUGCACUCCCUAGCUAGAACCUCCAAACAAGCUCUCAAAAAUCUACAACAGAUGCACACACAAAUAAGAAAAAGCAAUCCAAACACUGCACUAAAGAUAGUCAUCAAACAACAAGAGGAGUU